This 5280-nucleotide long non-coding RNA is filed under the name Olea europaea (common olive). RNAcentral describes it as "long non-coding RNA (OEUR_LNC008057)". Lineage: Eukaryota; Viridiplantae; Streptophyta; Magnoliopsida; Lamiales; Oleaceae. The record is from RNAcentral.
GAGCCCCGAGUUUCCGGCGGACUUGAAGUAUCAAUCGGGCUUCGGGAACCAUUUCUCGUCGGAGGCUAUCGCCGGAGCUCUCCCUCUCAAUCAGAACAGUCCUCUCGUCUGUCCUUACGGCCUCUACGCGGAGCAGAUCUCCGGCACCUCCUUCACUUCCCCUCGCAAACUCAACCAGCGCAGGUUAAUGCUUUGAAGAAUCUAUCUGUUUAAAUUUUUGAUGAUUUUGAAUGUGAUCUAUUCUGAGAAAUUUUUGUUUUGGCAGUUGGUUAUAUCGGGUUAAGCCAUCAGUUACUCAUGAGCCAUUUAAGCCUAGGGUCCCCAGUCACGGGAAGCUUGUGAGUGAAUUUAAUGAAUCAAAUAGUUCUGCAACUCCAACUCAGCUACGGUGGAAACCGGUGGAAGUUCCUAAAGCGCCGAUUGAUUUCAUUGACGGAUUAUACACUCUUUGUGGCGCUGGCAGCUCGUAUCUUCGGCAUGGUUUUGCAAUUCACAUGUAAUUGGUAUUCCUGGUUUUACUUUACUGUUUUGCGAUUUCGUGCAAUCGUAUUAAAACAAAUUUGAGGUUAUUAGGUGUAUAGAGGUCAACUUUUAUUUUAAAUUUAUCAACUUUAUGUUCCAUUAAUCAACUAUUCCAUAGACUAAGAUUUUUUUCCCUAUUGCAUCACAUAGUUGUUGUGUAUUUCCAUUAUUUUGUUAUGGGCACAGAUGAUAGUCUUCAAUCAAGUUCUGUUAUGGCCUUGUGGCCAAAGGAAGUCCUAUAAGCAUGGGACUGGUUUAUGUCUUAGCAGCCAACCUUGCGUAGAAAGCUAUUAGCUCAAACCAUUGUGCCGUAUGUCCAUCCAUAUCCAUCUAAUGUUAUCAGUUAAUGAUUUUUUGAUUUUAGACUUCAUUUAUUCUAUUCUGGUCACCCUGGUUACGAGUCAACUAGACUUGCUCCAACUUCACAAAGAUCUACCCCUUGGGGAUUUUGUGCUUUAAUAUUCCAUAGCAGGUUAUUUCCACAGUUUGUUUGUUCUACAAUUAUUUAUAAUGUGCUGAUUAAGUUCUAUGGUUGCGCACGUUCCAAGUGCCUACAUAGUUCUGCUAUUCCUGAGAGCCACUAGGGGCAAAACACUGUAUUGUAAUACUUUCAUGAGUUGCAUUAUGUCAUGCUUGUCUAUGUUAAUGCAUUGUAAUUUUUCAAGAACCAAUUGCCAAUUGAUAUGGUUUAGCAUAUCCAAUGUCACUUCAAUCUCCAUAGCAUUAGCAAUUUUUUUAGACGAUUCGGCAAUACUCGAUAGGGCAACGAGCCUAGCUUGAUCCUCCAGGAGUAUUUAAAAAAUAGCCACUUGUUCCUCAAUUUGGACAUAUUUACUAUCAUCCAAUCCAUAAGUUAACGAGCACGUAAUCUUUGAAACGAACCUAUAUUCAUCCUAAGCAGAUCAUGACAUGUCGUAUCACUCGUACCAAACAUUUGUGUAAGCGUCAUUUCUCGUUUAGAAUCCGAAUUUAUAUGAAGAGCUCUAGGGAGAUGUUGUUCACGACGCCUAAUAUCAUUAUGACCCUAUUUGACCCACAUUCUUUCCAAAAAAAAAAUAAAUUCUUAAACAAUGAUUUGAUAUUAUUUCAACCACACAUUCUUCAAUAAAAUAAUAUUACACGCACAUCCAAAACUUUUUUAUUUUUUAACCACGCAUUUUCGAUCAAUACAUUAUUAUGGAAAUAAUGUGGCUCAAACAAGGGCUAUUUAUCACAAUCGCUUGCAUGACCAUCGUCCAAAAUAAACCUAAUUAUUGUCGUUGGCGUCGACGUUGAUUCCUUGUUGUAGUCAUGUUAUGAUACUGAUCUUUGUUUCGGUGUAAGGCACCCUUGUAUUAAGCUAAAUCUAAGAAACACAAACAUACAGCCUGUUUGGGAGUGAUUUUUUGGCCCAAAAAAUUAAUUUUUUGACCGUUAUUUCAUUAUUAUAGCCAUCAUAUAUGACUUCUUCUCCCAUAGGUGGACCCCACUUUUUUCCUAACGAUCAAAAAAUCAAUUAUCAAAAUCACUCCCAAACAGGCUCAUAAUGUUAGAAGUUUCGAAUAUAAUUCUGCACUUAAGUUUUUAAGGUGUAAAUAUGAGGUAUAAUCUAAAAAGAAAAAUAAGUUGAGAUUUUGAUCAGAUGACUCUCCCAUGUCAUCUAAUAUUAGGUAUCAAACAUUUAGUAAUAGAGUAGACAAAUGCAGCAAAAUUAUAAUCAUGUAGAAAACAAUGUUAAAUGUUACCCCCAUUGAGAGAAGUACCCUGCUAAAGUGGAAGGGCUUAAGAAAUCCAAUCUUGUAUCUUCUUUGACAAUGUACAAUAAGGGCUAAAAUAACAUAAAUUUAGCUCAAAUAUCACAAUUAUAAACCCAGAAAGCUUCAAAUUUUAAAAGCAUUUCUCUCCAAAAUCAAGUCUUGAGCAUAUUCCUCAACAGAAUAUACAAGGAAAAGUAGAUUAAACUGCAGAAGGGUAAAAAUGAAGAAAAAGCAGACCCCGAGAACUAAAAAAAAAAAAAAAAACUGAAAUCCCCAAGAAUUCGAACUAUGUUGGAAAAAUAGUAAACGAAAAACCCAAUGUGAAUGAAGGUUUGACCUACUAAACAAACAUCUGAAUCAUGAACAAUUAGAAGGUGAACGAAAUGAGAUCAGAGAUCUAUAUCUCGGAAAAACAAAUUCUAGAAAAAGCCCAAGUCUACAGUAUGUAGAUACAAAUAUGUGUAUUCAAUAUCAGACCCAAGAAUUAAGAGAAUUUUACAAACUGAAUAUAAGCAAAUCAAGAUGAAAAAACAUAGACAUCGCCUAUUCUAGCACACAAUAACAAUCUCAGAGGAUACGGCGGUAAAAUGAACCUGAAUGAAUGCGAUCAAAGCCUCGUUGUCGAACUUUUGCAGUGAAUACGGCGGAUUUGGAAGCGGUGAUUCGUUUAGGUCUUCGGUUUCCUCUUCCUUCUUCCUGGUUUAGCUGUGUGAGUAAUUGGUUUCUUCUCCCUUCUUUCUGGUUUGUUGUUGGAGUAGAUGAAACAGGACAAGGAUUUUGUACGUGGGUUAGAGAGAGAGGGUACGCGAGUGCUUAGUAGAGACUGUUAGAAAACUUUGAAUUCGGAAGAUAAAAUCCUACUUAUCCAUAGAAACUAUUUUCUAACUGUUAAGGAAAAUAUAAUCACAUCAUAAAAAUAAAAGAUAGAGAAAAUUAUCAAUCAAACAAAGUAAAAGUUUGACCUUUAGUUGAUCCAAUUAAUUGACUUUGACCUUUAGUUGAUCCAAUUAAUUGAUUUUAGUUGAAGGUUAAGGUCAGGUAUGUGAAAAGGUAAAAGGUGAGGACCGAUAUUGCAAUUAUCCAUAAUUUUAAAUAAAAAUAGGAGAAAUAAUUAUUUUAAAUCAAAUUGCCUUUUUAAGAAGUAUAGUAUGCUUUCGUUGAGAGUCGAACUGAAGACCUCUUGCUUACUAAACAAGUGCUCUAAGCGAGCUAAGAAAGUUAUCGAUACAUUAAAAAUAAGGGUGCAUUUUAUUGCAAGUAUAGAAAGAAAAUAAAUUCUAGAUAAUUUGGUUGUCUAUAAUUAAUUUGCAUGAAAAUUAUCAAUUAAAUGUGUUUGAUUAUUUUAAUUUUCACCAUAAAAAAAAUAUACUUAUUACCUCUCGUUACACGUGGCUCUACAUUGUGAUCCAUUGUAGCCCUUAGCCUACUCAACUCGAAGUACAUUGCAUAGUGGUCGAGGUCUCGAAGCCAAUGAGAAAUGCAAUGAAGUCAACGCUUCAACCGAGACUCAACAUCAUGAAGUUCGAAAACCAUUGACCAGGUGGGCAAGUCUGAGGCCCCUAUGUCGAAGCGCCGAUGAAGAAUGCAAUGCAGUCAACGCUUCAACCGAGACUUAGCAUCAUGAAGUCCGAAGACCAUAGACCAGAUGGGCAAGUCCGAGGCCCUAUGCUGAAGCUUAAGCCUUCGAAGCACCUUAUUAUAUCAUAUUCUUCCAAGAGAUCUGUUUUUCACGAGUAUUUUUUUCGAAUGACUGAUGAGACGUUUAUCAUAGAGUUUUAAGUGUCAAAUCUUAUCAAAUGAAGUGUGCGGCUCUGUACAGUUAAUAAAUGCAUAGUAGGCUAGCAAAUUAAAAGUGAUGCCUAUGAUUAGAUAUGUGAAUUAAAGAGAUGAGAUCGCAUGUACUCCUAUCCAAGGAUCGCUAUUCAAUUUGUACCACUAUAAAUACUUUUCCAUAUAACUCCUGUAGGACUAAUGCAACUUUAAAUACAAAAACACUACAUAUCAUUUUACUCUCUUGCAAAUGCAACCGAGUUUACAUAACAUUCAUUUGCUUCAAUUGGUAAUUAUGGUAUGAUCAUCCUAAAAACGUUUUACUGGAUUUCGAACUUUAUCCUCUCAUGUUGAAGAGCUACUCCCACACCUUGUCCUUUAAAGGGUUCGUGACCGUCGGUUUGUUGUAGAGUGUUGGAAUUAGCUCACGUGUACGCGAGUGAAAUUGACAUCUGUUGUCUGCGUGACUCUAACUUAAAACGAGGUCAAUAGGACUUAUCCAAUUUUUAUUGGUGAAUAAAUGAAAGAGAGUGAAUAAAUAAGAGAAAGAGAAUUCCCUAGAAAAUAAAAUGCCACUCUCCCUAAAUAAAUAUUGUCGCGUGAUCAAAAAUAGAAAAAUGUUUUAUAUGGAAAAAAGUUAGUCAAACAGCACAAAAGUAGACAAUUUAGUGAAAAAAACACAUUUUUCAUGAAAAAUAUUGACAAUCAAAUGCACCUAAGUUAAUUUUUAAAAUCAAUUAAUUAGUCAACAUUAUCUAUAGCUUAGCAAACACGGUCUUCUUAGAGAGUGCCGGUCCAACAAGCCACGAUUCCACCUGAUCCACCGAACUCACUUUCCGUUACUAGAGUCUCUUUCUGGGUUCCAAUCCACUGAAUUUGAUUCUGUUCAUAUUAAUCACUCGAAUCACUAGCUUCUCAAAUUUUGAAGUUAAAUACUAAUCGAUUAUGGAUAGUGAAAACGCAUCUCGGAGCCCCGAGUUUCCGGCGGACUUGAAGUAUCAAUCGGGCUUCGGGAACCAUUUCUCGUCGGAGGCUAUCGCCGGAGCUCUCCCUCUCAAUCAGAACAGUCCUCUCGUCUGUCCUUACGGCCUCUACGCGGAGCAGAUCUCCGGCACCUCCUUCACUUCCCCUCGCAAACUCAACCAGCGCAGGUUAAUGCUUUGAAGAAUCUAUCUGUUUAAAUUUUUGAUGAUUUUGAAUGUGAUCUAUUCUGAGAAAUUUUUGUUUUGGCAGUUGGUUAUAUCGGGUUAAG